CCUACGGGAGGCAGCAGUGGGGAAUUUUGGACAAUGGGCGCAAGCCUGAUCCAGCCAUGCCGCGUGCGGGAAGAAGGCCUUCGGGUUGUAAACCGCUUUUGUCAGGGAAGAAAUCCUUUGAGCUAAUACCUCGGAGGGAUGACGGUACCUGAAGAAUAAGCACCGGCUAACUACGUGCCAGCAGCCGCGGUAAUACGUAGGGUGCGAGCGUUAAUCGGAAUUACUGGGCGUAAAGCGUGCGCAGGCGGUUAUGCAAGACAGAUGUGAAAUCCCCGGGCUUAACCUGGGAACUGCAUUUGUGACUGCAUAGCUCGAGUACGGCAGAGGGGGAUGGAAUUCCGCGUGUAGCAGUGAAAUGCGUAGAUAUGCGGAGGAACACCGAUGGCGAAGGCAAUCCCCUGGGCCUGUACUGACGCUCAUGCACGAAAGCGUGGGGAGCAAACAGGAUUAGAUACCCUGGUAGUCCACGCCCUAAACGAUGUCAACUGGUUGUUGGACGGCUUGCUGUUCAGUAACGAAGCUAACGCGUGAAGUUGACCGCCUGGGGAUACGGCGCAAGGUUGAAACUCAAAGAUAGAGGNGNGAGAGAGCGACGACGACGACGAGGAGGAGGNG
This 615-nucleotide ribosomal RNA is filed under the name uncultured bacterium. RNAcentral describes it as "bacterial SSU rRNA". It matches the Rfam family "Bacterial small subunit ribosomal RNA", at positions 338 to 946 of the family's 1533-position model. The record is from RNAcentral.